GUAUUUUAUGUUUUGUUGAUAUUUAUCAGUAUAAUUAUAGUCAUGAGUACUGUCAGUGGCGUAUAUCUUCCAAUUAUAAAGUUAUUCGAUUUGAAGUGAUUGAUUCCGAUUUAGGGCCUAAACCUGCCUAUGGCGACGAAGAUUAUGCCAAGGUCUAUGACGGUUAUGAUAGAUAUCGCAACCUUUUGGGUAAACUGAACAGUACAUAUGCACCGACAUUAUUCAGCUCUGGUUCCUAUCUUUAUAUUGAAUUUUUAUCCAAUUCGAAUGGUGGUUAUAAAGGGUUUAAAGUAAAAUAUUUCACGAUGUCAGAUAUUGUACCAGGGGAAGGUAGCUCAUCAAAUCAGAUAGUCAAACAUAUACCCUGCCUUGGUAAUCACGACGAUAUAUGUAUGGAAAUUUGAAAAAAAAUGUACUUUUCUGUGAUUAUUUCAGAAGAACCUGGGAUUUUAGGUGGAAUAAUUGGCGUCGUUACAUUGUUGGGUAUCUUUAUAUUUGUAUUCAUAUGUAUUUUCUGGAUGGAUAGAAAAAACAAAAUCCUGAGACAAUCGCGAUUGAACAGCCAAAGUGUCCACUUUAACACUUCCAAUAAUACCGUAUUUGUUGUUCCACCAGUUUAUGAUGCAAACAAUACGUCAUCACCCCCACCAUCUAAUCCAGAAUAUAAUAUCGCAGCACCUUACUAUCCUGGAAACAUACCCUCAGUACCACCACCACCUUAUUCCGAAUUACCAGCCUAUGAAGACUCAGCCAAAUAUGAAAUACCUGAAACUAGAAGCCACCCAGAGCAAAAUCCGGUACCAGAACCACAACGGCAGAUAGCAAGGGAGUAGUAGAGGACAGAGGUACCUCUUGGCUACGGAUUGGACCUAAUCAGUGUUGAUGCAUUGUUCUAUCCUACAUGUAUAAAUAGAAUAUCUAUUGUUUUCUGAACAAUGGAAUAAGAAUGAUAGCUAAAUAUCUAUUGUGUUAAGAUGUCAGGUGGCUGUCCUAAGAUUGACCUGCGUUCGUGUUGCAUCAUAAGGUCAUAAGGGCGCCUGUCCAACCUCGCGGGUUUUCUCUGAGUUCUCUGGUUUCUUCAGUCCCAAAAUGACUUAGUUUGAUGUCGAGUGGACGUUAAACCCCAUUUCUCUCUCGUAGGUUUCCUUCCAGUGCUAACGAUCCCAACGAGCAAGCGAAUUAAUGAAAUAAAAUUAAACCACACUUUAGUCACAAAAUGGCUAAGUUCCAUGUCGAGUGGACGUGAACCCCCAUUUCUCUUUCAUGGGUUUCCAUCGCGUAUUCCGGUGUCUCCCCUCACUGCUAAUUGAAAUAUAAUUGUGUCAUAUGUUAGUCCCGAAAUGGCUUAGUUUGAUGUCGAGUGGUGGUUAAACCCUAUCUCUCUCUAGUAUCACAUAACUGUGCAUUGGUUUAUAUCAGAGGAUUUGGGACGAACUAGAAUAGACAAAUGGAGUCAGUUAAUACAUCAUUAUGUAAAAUAAGGUUAGUUUAUAGUGAUAUCGUCUAAUUUCAAGCGAAGUAAACCCUUGAUUCAAUAUACAAUAGAUCAUAAGAUGUAACUCUCACUAAUCCAGUGAUUGUUCUAAGGACAUCAAGAUUUACGUUUUCAGGUACAGUGCCUUCGUUUUUAGUACAAUUAUUUCAGAUUACGUCCACGUAGUCGAAUAAUGGUAAUAUAAAAGCUUUGUAUAUUGUUUCUAGGGACCUUCUGCUUAAAUACUUUAAACGUCUAUAACAUUAAAUUUGGUUUAUUCCCACGAAGGCGCAGUUAUUGACAGUAGGUCGUUUUCGACGCCUUCGUGGGAAUCCAGCUCCUAGGGAUUAAAAUUGAUUAAAAACGUAACAAUGGUGUUAUAGAUUGUUAUGAUAAGAAUUUACACUUUAAAUAGUACCCAAUGUAACUAAUUAACCAAGAUUUUAGCAUCGUUUUUGGAAUAAGAAAUACAAAUAUAACUACACUAUAACAAAAAUUAAUUUAAUUUCGCCAAAUAUGACACCCUGUCUAAAUACUCGACUAAAAUCUAUUCCUCUUUCUCGUGUCUUCCUUUUAAUUUCUGAAGCGGGCUUUGGAUUUGAGCAUAUUUAUAUCUUUUUCUUGGUGGUUCCUUUCCCCUAGCAUACUGAACGAUUCUAAUCGCAUUAAUAUUUUGUUCUUGUUGUAAAAAUGUGAUCAUUUCAAAAACAUUCGGAUGGGCUUUUCCUACUAGCUUCUUGAUUCUUGCAUGCCAUCCUUCCAGAGUGCUGUUGAUUCUGUGCUCCCCUGUGUCGUAGUGGUCCCACUGAUAUCGUCCUCCGCGACUUGUAGGUACAAAGCUGAAUUUCGGUUGUUGUUGUUGUUGUUUAUUACAAAUUUAACGUCCAAUACAUAAUGUAUUAUAUUAUGGACAGGUUGAUUUAAUUAAGUUAUUUACAUCUGAAUGAGUAAAAUAUAGAAGUUAGGUAAAAGCACUAAAUAAUAAAAAGUUCUUGUAUAUCUAAACGUCACUUUAAAACAGAUUUAAAAUGAUUAAAAGUUCUUGUAUAUCUAAAAAUCACUUUAAAACACGGUUUUAAAAAUGGUUUUAAAAUCGUUGUCGCGGAAAGAGAGGGCGGGUCAUCUUCUCACUUUGUCAUAAUGAAAGUUAAAAUGGGAGAUCCAGCUGUUUGAUGCCAUCGCAGCGGAUCGAAAAAACCUUGUGGGAAAAAGAAUCCACUGUUUAAUGUGGAAAAGCGAAGUUCUCGCAGUGAAAACCACAUAGCUGGAUCCGUGGAGUAUUUACAUAUGAAUAUGGCCGUGUGGUUCUUUCCAUAUUAUAAAAGUUAGUUAAAACAAAUCCUUUAGCACAGAAUUUCGGAUAGUGUAACGGAAUUUUAUACAUCUUUAAAUAUGACACUGAUUGAGAGUGAUUUGAUGAUAUUCAUCAUUCAAUUGGUGAUUAAGAUUCAUAUUGAAUACUUGGAUAAUUUAAUGAUUUUAAUCAUUAGUUGCCAAUUGGUGAAUAAAAUUCAGAGUGAUCAUAAAUUCAUAAAAUCUUUAACACCGUUAAUUAGGUCCUAAUAACAACAUGCCCCUCUUCAAACGAAAGCCGACAUCUGCGCCUUCGUGGGAAGGAUUAAUUUUGGUCACGCUCUGUAACUGCGCCUUCGUGGGAAUACACCUUAAAUUUAAUAAGUACUUUAAUAACGGUAUAAUUAUUAUGAGCAUCCCCAUUACAAUUAUUACUUCUUAUGUUCUUUGCUAUCAGUUAUUUUAUGUAUGUAUUUAAAAUGAAAGUUCCGUAAUCUAUAGUUACCGCUUAUUUUUGCUCAAAUUGAAUAUGCGCGAGAUUUCCAUUUCAUCUAAAAUAAAAAUUAUUCUCUUUUUCCCCAUGUAUUUCUUGAUUAUGGUUUGGUAGAUUCAACUCGUGAGUAAAUGCCCUUUUAUAAAUCUGAUCCCAUAUGUUUAUACAUAAACAUUUGAAAUAUAUGUAUAUAUAAUAUUUUGGUUGAUAUUGUCAGAAAACAUUUCUGUUUUGUAUUAUCUGUGCAAACUCAUGGUUGAUUGUAUUCACGAAAUGCUUUAUUACUAUUCUUUACUCUAUUAAUUAAAACAUCUUUUUUGCAACCAGCCAAAAAUACAACAUUAUCAUUCAUUAGUUCUAUAUAUUACUUCAAUGCAACUUCUAUUAGUUAAUUGAAUUGUGAAGUUUAAGAAAUUUAAUCGUCGAUUAUAAACAUUCAGAGAGAGAGAGAGAGAGAGAGAGAGAGAGAGAGAUGGGUUAAAGUCCACUCGACACAAACUAGGUCGUUUCGGGACUAACAUAUGGUUUAAUUUUAUUUCAAUAAUUCGCUUGCGCGUAGGGGUCUUUAGCAGUGGGAGGAAACCGGAUAUACAUUCAGACCUAGAACAUAAAAAAAUUCAUUAUCGCAGUUUAAAAGUUGUCUUUGAUAUCACCGUCAGAUUCAAAUAAUAUUCUCUAGAUAAACAGCUGAUCUCUAACACAAUAGAUAAUUUACCUAUCAUUCAUAUUUCAUUAUUCAGAGAACAAUAGAUACUCUAUUUAUACAACAAAACUAUGCGUCAACACUGAUUAGGUCCAAUCCGUAACCAAGUUCAACCCCUACUACUCAAGGUAUCCACAACAGUUCAGCGUACGAAGGCGUAACGAUUCAACCCAGUCCAUAGGCAGCCAAGAAGUCUUAGCUUUUAUAGUAGACGAAAGGGAAGUGACAGGCAUUGACAAUCAAAUCAAUCACCCAAAUUAUUCCAUUCCACUAUAUCUUAACAAUUCGUCCAAGUUUUAUAUGGAUUUGUAAAUUAAAACAUAUCUUCCUUGUAUAAAUCAGCGAAAAUCCUUUAAAUCCAAAGAUGUGUUUUUAUGUAGAAAAUAUUAUUUAAAGAAAUUGUUGAAUACACGUAUUUGCAUAAUAGUUAACAUGUAAAUGUAAUUAUUCUGUUUGUAAGGUCAGCUUUCAGAAACCUGUCUAUAUCUCUGUUAAAUGCCCUAUACAUUAAUAAACUGCGUUAUAUGAUGGGUUUUAUCUUGCAUAACUAUUUGACUUUAUCAAACACAAUAUUGUUGAUUAUACGUAUUUGCAUAAUAGUGAAGGGGUGAAUUUAAAUAUUUUGAAAGGAAUCGCAUGUUUAAAUACUUUUCGCCGAUAAAUUUUGGAAUUUGUUGGUCUGCAUUACAUUAAAGAUGCAUUAUGUAAGAGAUAAAUCUGUCCAUUGAAGGUUUUUAUUUGGGCUUCAAAUGUUAUAUAAAUUAUUAUUUAGACAUUUAUUAUUCACAUGGCAAGGCUAUAAGAAACUCUCUAGAUCAUCAGAUGGGGGGAAACUAAAACAGAUUGAAACUUAAAAAUUGAGAAGGGAGGCUGAAUUGCGAUAAACAAUUAACGUUGCUACGAUAGUAAACAAUCUGCGCUACAUCUUCCAACAACCAUGCUUCGCUCAGAAUAAAGUAAUUUAAAUGAAAUUUUCAACCAUUAUCUAUUUUUGAACUAUUAUAGCAAGAACGACGUCCUCUGUGUCUAAAUAUAUAUGUAGGAUUUAUUCCCGCAUAAAUAUUUGACUUUUAUCAAACAGAAAAUACACAUUAUGUAGAUCGAUAAUAGCCGUUGUUGGAGUUAUUACCAGAACUGACAGGAAUCAUUUACGGCCAGGUUCUAAUUCGUAAAACUAAUGAAGCGUGGCCCGAUUCCCAACAAAACCAUGGAUUAUUCUGUCGAGUGGAUCGACUCGAAUGAAAAGAUAUCUAUUAUGUUACAUGUGUUUGUGUACGCCAAUAAAACUUUAAAACCUGAGAUCCCAAUAUGCUGAUUUGAAUACUAUUAUAGUAAUAUUUUAUUUCCAAGCCCAAUAUAAUGAUCAGUGUAAUGAACCCCUCCUAUUAUGAUUAUUUAUUACACUUUCUGUUAUUCUAAAUAAUGACAGGUAUGGAUCAUAACUUGUAGUUGUACUAAGUUUCAAGUUUCAACACAACUCUAGGCAGAAACAUUAUGCUGUGUCCUCUGUUAGUAUUUCUAUUACGGACAAAUAAACACAAUCAAAUAUAUACUUAUAUAUUAUAUUUUAACUCAAAUCAUAGAAGUCGUGUCAUUUUGGUAUUUAAGGUGUAUUCAAUUUGUUUUCUUCAAGUGAACCAAUGAAUGUAUGUGACCAAUGAUGAAAUAAUUUGUCGUUUUUAAAACGUUUGUCAUUUUGAGCGUGUUGCUGUAGGGACAUUAUUAGGUUCAAGACGCAACAUUUGUGUUUUAGUGGUUUCAUUUAUUUUUUAACGACCUGCUAUUGUUUUGUUUUGUUAUUCCGUUCACGUUACAUCAUGUUAUAUGUUUCACCAUUGGCCUUGCAGCCUUUGUAUAUUACAGUAUUACAAAUAUUAAAAAACAAAAUAUGCAUAAAGUUAACUAAGUAUAUAAGGAUAAACUUGUUUAUAUCGUUAGCUUUUAUAUUUGGUAAUUAAUUAAAAAAAAACCGAAUUAAU
Patella vulgata (common limpet) is the source of this 5942-nucleotide long non-coding RNA. RefSeq lists it as uncharacterized. The record is from RefSeq and is a predicted model, not a curated record. The transcript has 5 exons. NCBI's taxonomy places the organism in Eukaryota, Metazoa, Mollusca, Gastropoda, Patellidae.